UACGUAGGGUGCGAGCGUUGUCCGGAUUUAUUGGGCGUAAAGAGCUCGUAGGCGGCUCGGUAAGUCGAGUGUGAAAUUUCGAGGCUUAACCUCGGAACGCCACCCGAUACUGCUGUGGCUAGAGUCCGGUAGGGGAGCGUGGAAUUCCUGGUGUAGCGGUGAAAUGCGCAGAUAUCAGGAGGAACACCAGCGGCGAAGGCGGCGCUCUGGGCCGGUACUGACGCUGAGGAGCGAAAGCGUGGGGAUCAAACAGG
This 254-nucleotide ribosomal RNA is filed under the name uncultured bacterium. RNAcentral describes it as "partial 16S ribosomal RNA". It matches the Rfam family "Bacterial small subunit ribosomal RNA", at positions 524 to 776 of the family's 1533-position model. The record is from RNAcentral.